This 1582-nucleotide non-coding RNA is filed under the name Brettanomyces bruxellensis. RNAcentral's name for it is "small subunit ribosomal RNA". It matches the Rfam family "Bacterial small subunit ribosomal RNA". Lineage: Eukaryota; Fungi; Ascomycota; Pichiomycetes; Pichiales; Pichiaceae. The record is from RNAcentral.
AUUUAAUAAAGAUGAGAGUAUGAUGUCGGCUCAGAUUAAACGUUAUUUAAGGACUUGAUACAUGCGAAUUGAACGUAAAUGCUAAAAAUUAUAAUAAAUAUAAUAAAUUUAGGAUUUAAGUAGUGUAAAGGUGAGUAAAAGAUUGAAAUAAGAACUAUUAAUAAAUAUAAAAAUAUAUAAAAAUAACGAUAUAUUCAAUUAAGAAUAUAAAGGAAAAGGAUAUAAUUAAAAAGAUAUCUGUUAAUAGUCAAGUCAAUAUUAGAAUAGGUAGUAGGUAAGAUAAGAGCUAAACCUAGCCAAGGAUCUAUAAUUAAUAAUGAGAGUUAUAAUAAUCACAUUGGUAGUGAAAUCUAUCAAUAUAAAAAAUGUAAUAUAUAUUAUUAAUUUAAUAUAUAUUAUAUAUUAUACAGCAGUAGGGAAUAUUAGACAAUGAUCGAAAGAUUGAUCUAGUUACUUAAAAUGAUGAAAAUUAUAAUAAUAUAAUAAAAAAAAUAAUAAUGAAGAAUAUAAAAUCAAUAUAUAUAUAUAAAAUAAUGAUAUAAAAAAUAUAUAGAAGUCUUAACAAAAAUUAGUGCCAGCAGUUGCGGCUAAACUGAGGAGGCGAACGUUAAUCAUUAAUGGCUUAAAGGAUCCGUAGAACGAAAAAAAAGAAUAUAGAGUUAAAAGAAAUAAAUAAUGUAUAAUUAUAAUGAGAGAUGAAAUGCAAUGAAAAUAAUUAGACAGCUAAAACUGAAGAGAAUAUUUAUAAUUUAACUGACGUUGAGGGAUGAAAGCAUAAGUAAUAAACCGGAUUAGAUACCCGAGUAAUUUAUGCUGUAAACGAUGAAUACUAAUAUAAAAAAAAUAUAAAAAAAGCGAAAGUAAAGUAUUCCGCCAGGUGAGUAUAUUCGCAAGAAUGAAAUCCAAGACAAUAGACGGUUACAGGUGUAGGCAGUGGAUUGUGUUUUUUAAUUCGAUAAUCCCCGAUAAAUCUUACCAUUAUUUGAAUAUAAUUUAAUUAAUAAAAAUUUUUUAAUUAUUUAAUACAAAUGUUACAUCGUUGUUUUAAGUUUGUGCUUUAAGGUUAUGAUUAACUUCAUAAACAGACAAAAUUCCAUAUAUUAAAAAUAAAAUCUAAUUAAUAUAUUAAUUCUUUGAUUUAAGAUAAAGAAUUAUAUAAUGGAACUACAACAAAUCAUGAUGACUUUAAUAUAAUGGGCUAAAGACGCAAUACAAAAUAUUAUUAAUAAAAUUAAAUUAAAUACAAAUAUUUAAAUAAUUAAUUUAAAUUAAUAUAUUAAAUAUAUUUUAAUAAAUAUAUUUUAUGUGAAUUAAUUUCUGAAAUUCGUUAUUAUGAAAAAGGAAUUGCUAGUAAUCAUAAUUCAUUAAAUUAUGGUGAAAUUUAUCCCUGUUUCGUACUAAUUACUCAUCAUUCGCCAGAAAGUGUUAUAAUUUUAAAUGUAUUAUUUUUAUCUAUUAUUUACCUUUAUAAUAAUUUAUAUUUAUAUACUCUUUAAUUAUUCGCUGACUGGUGAGAAGUUGAAAUACAGUUAUCGUUGAGGAAUCAGCGGUGGGUUGUCAAAUUUUCUUUGUUUGUCAUUUU